AGCGUAAUCACUUGUUCUUUAAAUGAGGACUAGUAUGAAUGGCACCACGAGGGUUACACUGUCUCCUUUUUCUAAUCAGUGAAACUAAUCUCCCCGUGAAGAAGCGGGAAUAAACAUAUAAGACGAGAAGACCCUAUGGAGCUUUAAACUAAAUAACACCUGCCUCUUAAUACUACCACUUCAGAGUAAUAAACACUUAUUAUGGCCUAUUGAUUAUUAGUUUUAGGUUGGGGUGACCGCGGAGUAAAAAACAACCUCCACAUUGAAUGGGGAACACCCCCUGAGUCACGAGCCACAACUCUAUGCACCAAUAAAUUGACAUUCAUUGACCCAAUAUAUUGAUCAACGAACCAAGUUACCCUAGGGAUAACAGCGCAAUCCGCCUUAAGAGCCCCUAUCGACAGGCGGG
This 409-nucleotide ribosomal RNA is filed under the name Hyla savignyi (Savingny's treefrog). RNAcentral describes it as "partial large subunit ribosomal RNA". It matches the Rfam family "Bacterial large subunit ribosomal RNA", at positions 1958 to 2516 of the family's 2925-position model. The record is from RNAcentral. Lineage: Eukaryota; Metazoa; Chordata; Amphibia; Anura; Hylidae.